Molecule: ribosomal RNA, 433 nt
Filed under: uncultured bacterium
Lineage: Bacteria
Description: partial 16S ribosomal RNA
Rfam family: Bacterial small subunit ribosomal RNA
Source: RNAcentral
AACGAACGCUGGCGGCAGGCCUAACACAUGCAAGUCGAGCGGACCCUUCGGGGUUAGCGGCGGACGGGUGAGUACCGCGUGGGAAUAUGCCCUUCUCUACGGAAUAGUCCUGGGAAAUUGGGGGUAAUACCGUAUACGCCCUUUGGGGGAAAGAUUUAUCGGGGAAGGAUUAGCCCGCGUUGGAUUAGGUAGUUGGUGGGGUAAUGGCCUACCAAGCCGACGAUCCAUAGCUGGUUUGAGAGGAUGAUCAGCCACACUGGGACUGAGACACGGCCCAGACUCCUACGGGAGGCAGCAGUGGGGAAUCUUAGACAAUGGGGGCAACCCUGAUCUAGCCAUGCCGCGUGAGUGAUGAAGGCCUUAGGGUUGUAAAGCUCUUUCAGCUGGGAAGAUAAUGACGGUACCAGCAGAAGAAGCCCCGGCUAACUCCGUG